GGGUUGUGAGGUUAAGCGACUAAGCGUACACGGUGGAUGCCCUGGCAGUCAGAGGCGAUGAAGGACGUGCUAAUCUGCGAUAAGCGUCGGUAAGGUGAUAUGAACCGUUAUAACCGGCGAUUUCCGAAUGGGGAAACCCAGUGUGAUUCGUCACACUAUCAUUAACUGAAUCCAUAGGUUAAUGAGGCGAACCGGGGGAACUGAAACAUCUAAGUACCCCGAGGAAAAGAAAUCAACCGAGAUUCCCCCAGUAGCGGCGAGCGAACGGGGAGGAGCCCAGAGCCUGAAUCAGUGUGUGUGUUAGUGGAAGCGUCUGGAAAGGCGCGCGAUACAGGGUGACAGCCCCGUACACAAAAAUGCACAUACUGUGAGCUCGAUGAGUAGGGCGGGACACGUGGUAUCCUGUCUGAAUAUGGGGGGACCAUCCUCCAAGGCUAAAUACUCCUGACUGACCGAUAGUGAACCAGUACCGUGAGGGAAAGGCGAAAAGAACCCCGGCGAGGGGAGUGAAAAAGAACCUGAAACCGUGUACGUACAAGCAGUGGGAGCCUCUUAAUGGGGUGACUGCGUACCUUUUGUAUAAUGGGUCAGCGACUUAUAUUCUGUAGCAAGGUUAACCGAAUAGGGGAGCCGAAGGGAAACCGAGUCUUAACUGGGCGUUAAGUUGCAGGGUAUAGACCCGAAACCCGGUGAUCUAGCCAUGGGCAGGUUGAAGGUUGGGUAACACUAACUGGAGGACCGAACCGACUAAUGUUGAAAAAUUAGCGGAUGACUUGUGGCUGGGGGUGAAAGGCCAAUCAAACCGGGAGAUAGCUGGUUCUCCCCGAAAGCUAUUUAGGUAGCGCCUCGUGAAUUCAUCUCCGGGGGUAGAGCACUGUUUCGGCAAGGGGGUCAUCCCGACUUACCAACCCGAUGCAAACUGCGAAUACCGGAGAAUGUUAUCACGGGAGACACACGGCGGGUGCUAACGUCCGUCGUGAAGAGGGAAACAACCCAGACCGCCAGCUAAGGUCCCAAAGUCAUGGUUAAGUGGGAAACGAUGUGGGAAGGCCCAGACAGCCAGGAUGUUGGCUUAGAAGCAGCCAUCAUUUAAAGAAAGCGUAAUAGCUCACUGGUCGAGUCGGCCUGCGCGGAAGAUGUAACGGGGCUAAACCAUGCACCGAAGCUGCGGCAGCGACGCUGAUGCGUUGUUGGGUAGGGGAGCGUUCUGUAAGCCUGUGAAGGUGGCCUGUGAGGGUUGCUGGAGGUAUCAGAAGUGCGAAUGCUGACAUAAGUAACGAUAAAGCGGGUGAAAAGCCCGCUCGCCGGAAGACCAAGGGUUCCUGUCCAACGUUAAUCGGGGCAGGGUGAGUCGACCCCUAAGGCGAGGCCGAAAGGCGUAGUCGAUGGGAAACAGGUUAAUAUUCCUGUACUUGGUGUUACUGCGAAGGGGGGACGGAGAAGGCUAUGUUGGCCGGGCGACGGUUGUCCCGGUUUAAGCGUGUAGGCUGGUUUUCCAGGCAAAUCCGGAAAAUCAAGGCUGAGGCGUGAUGACGAGGCACUACGGUGCUGAAGCGACAAAUGCCCUGCUUCCAGGAAAAGCCUCUAAGCAUCAGGUAACAUCAAAUCGUACCCCAAACCGACACAGGUGGUCAGGUAGAGAAUACCAAGGCGCUUGAGAGAACUCGGGUGAAGGAACUAGGCAAAAUGGUGCCGUAACUUCGGGAGAAGGCACGCUGAUAUGUAGGUGAAGCGACUUGCUCGUGGAGCUGAAAUCAGUCGAAGAUACCAGCUGGCUGCAACUGUUUAUUAAAAACACAGCACUGUGCAAACACGAAAGUGGACGUAUACGGUGUGACGCCUGCCCGGUGCCGGAAGGUUAAUUGAUGGGGUUAGCGGUAACGCGAAGCUCUUGAUCGAAGCCCCGGUAAACGGCGGCCGUAACUAUAACGGUCCUAAGGUAGCGAAAUUCCUUGUCGGGUAAGUUCCGACCUGCACGAAUGGCGUAAUGAUGGCCAGGCUGUCUCCACCCGAGACUCAGUGAAAUUGAACUCGCUGUGAAGAUGCAGUGUACCCGCGGCAAGACGGAAAGACCCCGUGAACCUUUACUAUAGCUUGACACUGAACAUUGAGCCUUGAUGUGUAGGAUAGGUGGGAGGCUUUGAAGUGUGGACGCCAGUCUGCAUGGAGCCGACCUUGAAAUACCACCCUUUAAUGUUUGAUGUUCUAACGUGGGCCCCUUACCGGGGUUGCGGACAGUGUCUGGUGGGUAGUUUGACUGGGGCGGUCUCCUCCUAAAGAGUAACGGAGGAGCACGAAGGUUGGCUAAUCCUGGUCGGACAUCAGGAGGUUAGUGCAAUGGCAUAAGCCAGCUUGACUGCGAGCGUGACGGCGCGAGCAGGUGCGAAAGCAGGUCAUAGUGAUCCGGUGGUUCUGAAUGGAAGGGCCAUCGCUCAACGGAUAAAAGGUACUCCGGGGAUAACAGGCUGAUACCGCCCAAGAGUUCAUAUCGACGGCGGUGUUUGGCACCUCGAUGUCGGCUCAUCACAUCCUGGGGCUGAAGUAGGUCCCAAGGGUAUGGCUGUUCGCCAUUUAAAGUGGUACGCGAGCUGGGUUUAGAACGUCGUGAGACAGUUCGGUCCCUAUCUGCCGUGGGCGCUGGAGAACUGAGGGGGGCUGCUCCUAGUACGAGAGGACCGGAGUGGACGCAUCACUGGUGUUCGGGUUGUCAUGCCAAUGGCACUGCCCGGUAGCUAAAUGCGGAAGAGAUAAGUGCUGAAAGCAUCUAAGCACGAAACUUGCCCCGAGAUGAGUUCUCCCUGAGACUUAGAGUCUCCUGAAGGAACGUUGAAGACGACGACGUUGAUAGGCCGGGUGUGUAAGCGCAGCGAUGCGUUGAGCUAACCGGUACUAAUGAACCGUGAGGCUUAACCUUACAACGCCGAAG
Molecule: ribosomal RNA, 2926 nt
Filed under: Escherichia coli
Lineage: Bacteria; Pseudomonadati; Pseudomonadota; Gammaproteobacteria; Enterobacterales; Enterobacteriaceae
Description: bacterial LSU rRNA
Rfam family: Bacterial large subunit ribosomal RNA
Source: RNAcentral